This 512-nucleotide ribosomal RNA is filed under the name uncultured bacterium. RNAcentral's name for it is "partial 16S ribosomal RNA". It matches the Rfam family "Bacterial small subunit ribosomal RNA", at positions 28 to 507 of the family's 1533-position model. The record is from RNAcentral.
GAUGAACGCUGGCGGCGUGCCUAAUACAUGCAAGUCGAACGAAACUUCUUUAUCACCGAGUGCUUGCACUCACCGAUAAAGAGUUGAGUGACGAACGGGUGAGUAACACGUGGGCAACCUGCCCAAAAGAGGGGGAUAACACUUGGAAACAGGUGCUAAUACCGCAUAACCAUAGUUACCGCAUGGUAACUAUGUAAAAGGUGGCUAUACUACCGCUUUUGGAUGGGCCCGCGGCGCAUUAGCUAGUUGGUAGGGUAAAGGCUUACCAAGGCAAUGAUGCGUAGCCGAAUUGAGAGGUUGAUCGGCCACAUUGGGACUGAGACACGGCCCAAACUCCUACGGGAGGCAGCAGUAGGGAAUCUUCCACAAUGGGCGAAAGCCUGAUGGAGCAACGCCGCGUGGGUGAAGAAGGUCUUCGGAUCGUAAAACCCUGUUGUUAGAGAAGAAAGUGCGUGAGAGUAACUGUUCACGUUUCGACGGUAUCUAACCAGAAAGCCACUGCUAACUACGUG